UCUCACCUGAAGAGCGAGCAGCAUGGCGCCUCAGUUGUUUGUCAGCGGACCCCGAGGGGAGAGUUUGGUCCUCGACGUGUGUCACAAUGACGAGCAGUUCAGGAAAAUGUCCGUUGAGGAUCUGAAAAAGACACUUAAAAAGGAACUGAAAUUGACCAGUGAGUUCCGUGUUUGCCAUCAGAACAAGAAAUUGACAGAGACUGCAAUGCUGUCUGAACAUGGGCUCCGACACAUGUCCACCAUCCAAGUCCUGCUGCUGCUGCCUGGUGGACACCUGUGAUGCAUCUGCUGUCAACGCUGCAGCAAAAGCUUCAUCUGGGCUCAUUCAAUGCUUGAGCUGAUCGCUUGUGAUAAAUAUAGCAAUCAGACUUUUCUCCUCCUCCAUGAAUUUGAUGUAAAUGUGCCAAACUACACUGAAUGACAGCACUAACUUGGGCAGCUUGGUACUUUGUCCCUUACAGACAAUCGAAUCAUUGCCCGCUGUCUGGGAAAUAGCUUGGUGUGCUUUCACAAAGCAUGAGCGAACAGGUUUCGGACAUAUUUCUGUACGAUGAGUGACCAUGAGUGCACCAUCAAUGAAAAACAAUAAAGCCUGAAACACA
Synchiropus splendidus (mandarinfish) is the source of this 602-nucleotide long non-coding RNA. RefSeq lists it as uncharacterized. The record is from RefSeq and is a predicted model, not a curated record. The transcript is spliced from 2 exons. NCBI's taxonomy places the organism in Eukaryota, Metazoa, Chordata, Actinopteri, Syngnathiformes, Callionymidae.